Molecule: long non-coding RNA, 559 nt
Filed under: Felis catus (domestic cat)
Lineage: Eukaryota; Metazoa; Chordata; Mammalia; Carnivora; Felidae
Description: lncRNA (ENSFCAG00000046040.2)
Source: RNAcentral
AACAUACUUUUAUUAAAUCACAGUGCUAUGAGCCAGAAGUCAGGCACAACUUUUCUGGGUCCUCUCCUCAAGGCCCCAUCAGACUACCGUCAAGGUGUCAGCCAGUCUUUAUGCUCAUCUCUAGCUCCCCAUCCUCUUCCAGGCUCCUUCAAGUUGUUGGCAGAAUCCAGUUCCAUGUGGUUGUGGGACUGAGGUCCAUGUUUUCUUGACGGCUGUAUGCCAGGACAUUUUCAGGCCACCUUCCAGUGACCCUCUCCACAAUAUGGAUGCUCGUUUCUUCAAGGUGAACACAAGAUUCUCUGCAGUUGGCUAAGAUGGAGAUUUCCAUAAUGUAACGUGAUCACAGUUUGAGUCUGCGUGCGAUGAAAAAGAAUAAGAAUACAACUGACAAUGAGGAGGAGGAGCAGAAGCCAUUCCAUGUCCUGGACGUUAGGUCCCAAAAUGGAGCUGAUGGAAGAACGCUUACACUUGGGCAAGCAAUUUCUCGAUGGUGUAUCAGUCCAUCAAUCAAGAAUAUGAGGAAGAGAGAUGACAGCAAAUUGGAUGAAGCUGAGAGAUG